RNAcentral lists this ribosomal RNA (804 nucleotides) under delta proteobacterium FM1A-F3. Its description in RNAcentral is "bacterial SSU rRNA". It matches the Rfam family "Bacterial small subunit ribosomal RNA", at positions 89 to 880 of the family's 1533-position model. The record is from RNAcentral. Lineage: Bacteria; Deltaproteobacteria.
AGUAGAGUGGCGCACGGGUGAGUAACGCGUAAGUAAUCUACCCUGGUAUCUGGGAUAACCCACCGAAAGGUGUGCUAAUACCGGAUACGCUGAUUUAUCAGGAAAGGUGGCCUCUUCAUGAAAGCUACUGUACCAGGAGGAGCUUGCGUACCAUUAGCUAGUUGGUAGGGUAAUGGCCUACCAAGGCAACGAUGGUUAGCGGGUCUGAGAGGAUGAUCCGCCACACUGGAACUGGAACACGGACCAGACUCCUACGGGAGGCAGCAGUGAGGAAUAUUGCGCAAUGGGGGAAACCCUGACGCAGCGACGCCGCGUGGAUGAUGAAGGCCUUCGGGUCGUAAAAUCCUGUCAGAUGGAAAGAAAUGUAGUAUGCCUAAUACGUGUACUAUUUGACGGUACCAUCAAAGGAAGCACCGGCUAACUCCGUGCCAGCAGCCGCGGUAAUACGGAGGGUGCAAGCGUUGUUCGGAAUUACUGGGCGUAAAGCGCGCGUAGGCGGCUAUGUAAGUCAGAUGUGAAAGUCCACGGCUCAACCGUGGAAGUGCAUUUGAAACUGGAUGGCUUGAGUACUGGAGGGGGUGGUGGAAUUCCCGGUGUAGAGGUGAAAUUCGUAGAUAUCGGGAGGAAUACCGGUGGCGAAGGCGACCACCUGGCCAGAUACUGACGCUGAGGUGCGAAAGCGUGGGGGAGCAAACAGGAUUAGAUACCCUGGUAGUCCACGCCGUAAAACGAUGUCAACUAGGUGUUGGGACGGUUAAUCGUCUCAUUGCCGCAGCUAACGCAUUAAGUUGACCGCCUGGGGAG